GGAGGAACUAUGGUGGAAGGCAUUGGAUUUUGCUGCUCUUAAAAGGAGUUCAGUUUCAUUCUUUGAUGUGGAGAAACAAGAAUCUGCUGUGUCAAGGUGGGCAAGGGCAAGAACAAGAGCAGCUAAGGCAGCUAACCUCCGUGAAAGGUUCGAGCAACACAGACACGUGCUUUCAUGGCCCAAGACAUUGUCAAUAAGU
Long non-coding RNA from Arachis stenosperma, 199 nucleotides. RefSeq lists it as uncharacterized. NCBI's taxonomy places the organism in Eukaryota, Viridiplantae, Streptophyta, Magnoliopsida, Fabales, Fabaceae. The transcript is spliced from 4 exons. The record is from RefSeq and is a predicted model, not a curated record.